UACGGAAGGCAGCAGGGGGGAAUAUUGCACAAUGGGCGCAAGCCUGAUGCAGCCAUGCCGCGUGUAUGAAAAAGGCCUUCGGGUUGUAAAGUACUUUCAGUCGUGAGGAAGGUGUUAAGGUUAAUAACCUUAGCAAUUGACGUUAGCGACAGAAGAAGCACCGGCUAACUCCGUGCCAGCAGCCGCGGUAAUACGGAGGGUGCGAGCGUUAAUCGGAAUUACUGGGCGUAAAGGGCACGCAGGCGGUUAAUUAAGUUGGAUGUGAAAUCCCCGGGCUUAACCUGGGAAUGGCAUUCAAGACUGGUUAGCUAGAGUCUUGUAGAGGGGGUAGAAUUCCAUGUGUAGCGGUGAAAUGCGUAGAGAUGUGGAGGAAUACCGGUGGCGAAGGCGGCCCCGUGGACAAAGACUGACGCUCAUGUGCGAAAGCGUGGGGAGCGAAACAGGGAUUAGAUACCC
This 456-nucleotide ribosomal RNA is filed under the name uncultured bacterium. RNAcentral describes it as "bacterial SSU rRNA". It matches the Rfam family "Bacterial small subunit ribosomal RNA", at positions 340 to 787 of the family's 1533-position model. The record is from RNAcentral.